GGGGGCUGAUUUUUGGGCGCGGCUGUGCCCGUGGCCUAUUUUUGGAUCACCGAGGCCGCCCGCCAAGUAUGGUGCCAUUCCGAGUCCCGCGGACGAACUUCGCCCACGCCCCCCACCAAGGCUAUAGCCCACGCGAUUUUUGGCCAUUUUUCCGCUGGGGGGUCUUGGGACCCCGACCUUCGGGGGCUGAUUUUUGGGCGAGGCUGUGCCCUUGGCCUAUUUUUGGCACACGGAGGCCGCCCGCCAAGUCUGGGGCCAUUCCGAGUCCCGCGGACGAACUUCGCCCACGCCCCCCACCAAGGCUAUAGCCCACCCGUUUUUGGCCAUUUUUCCGCUGGGGGGUCUUGGGACCCCGACCUUCGGGGGCUGAUUUUUGGGCGCGGCUGUGCCCGUGGCCUAUUUUUGGCACACAGAGGCCGCCUGCCAAGUAUGGUGCCAUUCCGAGUCCCGCGGACGAACUUCGCCCACGCCCCCCACCAAGGCUAUAUACCCCACGCGUUUUUUGGCCAUUUUUCCGCUGGGGGGUCUUGGGACCCCGACCUUCGGGGGCGGAUUUUUGGGCCCGGCUGUGCCCGUGGCCUAUUUUUGGCACACAGAGGCCGCCCGCCAAGUAUGGUGCCAUUCCGAGUCCCGCGGACGAACUUCGCCCACGCCCCCGACCAAGGCUAUAGUCCACCCGUUUUUUGGCCAUUUUUCCGCUGGGGGGUCUUGGGACCCCGACCUUCGGGGGCUGAUUUUUGGGCGCGGCUGUGCCCGUGGCCUAUUUUUGGCACACGGAGGCCGCCCGCCAAGUAUGGUGCCAUUCCGAGUCCCGCGGACGAACUUCGCCCACGCCCCCCACCAAGGCUAUAGCCCACGCGUUUUUUGGCCAUUUUUCCGCUGGGGGGUCUUGGGACCCCGACCUUCGGGGGCUGAUUUUUGGGCGCGGCUGUGCCCGUGGCCUAUUUUUGGCACACGGAGGCCGCCCGCCAAGUAUGGUGCCAUUCCGAGUCCCGCGGACGAACUUCGCCCACGCCCCCCACCAAGGCUAUAGCCCACGCGUUUUUUGGCCAUUUUUCCGCUGGGGGGUCUUGGGACCCCGACCUUCGGGGGCUGAUUUUUGGGCGCGGCUGUGCCCGUGGCCUAUUUUUGGCACACGGAGGCCGCCCGCCAAGUCUGGGGCCAUUCCGGGUCCCGCGGACGAACUUCGCCCACGCCCCCCACCAAGGCUAUAUCCCACGCGUUUUUUGGCCAUUUUUCCGCUGGGGGGUCUUGGGACCCCGACCUUCGGGGGCUGAUUUUUGGGCGCGGCUGUGCCCGUGGCCUAUUUUUGGCACACGGAGGCCGCCCGCCAAGUAUGGUGCCAUUCCGAGUCCCGCGGACGAACUUCGCCCACGCCCCCCACCAAGGCUAUAGCCCACCCGUUUUUUGGCCAUUUUUCCGCUGGGGGGUCUUGGGACCCCGACCUUCGGGGGCUGAUUUUUGGGCGCGGCUGUGCCCGUGGCCUAUUUUUGGCACACGGAGGCCGCCCGCCAAGUAUGGUGCCAUUCCGAGUCCCGCGGACGAACUUCGCCCACGCCCCCCACCAAGGCUAUAGCCCACCCGUUUUUUGGCCAUUUUUCCGCUGGGGGGUCUUGGGACCCCGACCUUCGGGGGCUGAUUUUUGGGCGCGGCUGUGCCCGUGGCCUAUUUUUGGCACACAGAGGCCGCCCGCCAAGUAUGGUGCCAUUCCGAGUCCCGCGGACGAACUUCGCCCACGCCCCCCACCAAGGCUAUAGCCCACGCGUUUUUUGGCCUUUUUUCCGCUGGGGGGUCUUGGGACCCCGACCUUCGGGGGCUGAUUUUUGGGCGCGGCUGUGCCCGUGGCCUAUUUUUGGCACACCGAGGCCGCCCGCCAAGUAUGGUGCCAUUCCGAGUCCCGCGGACGAACUUCGCCCACGUCCCCCACCAAAGCUAUAGCCCACGCGUUUUUUGGCCAUUUUUCCGCUGGGGGGUAUUGGGACCCCGACCUUCGGGGGCUGAUUUUUGGGCGCGGCUGUGCCCGUGGCCUAUUUUUGGCACACAGAGGCCGCCCGCCAAGUAUGGUGCCAUUCCGAGUCCCGCGGACGAACUUCGCCCACGCCCCCCACCAAGGCUAUAGCGCACCCGUUUUUUGGCCAUUUUUCCGCCGGGGGGUCUUGGGACCCCGACCUUCGGGGGCUGAUUUUUGGGCGCGGCUGUGCCCGUGGCCUAUUUUUAGCACACGGAGGCCGCCCGCCAAGUAUGGUGCCAUUCCGAGUCCCGCGGACGAACUUCGCCCACGCCCCCCACCAAGGCUAUAGCCCACGCGUUUUUUGACCAUUUUUCCGCUGGGGGGUCUUGGGACCCCGACCUUCGGGGGCUGAUUUUUGGGCGCGGCUGUGCCCGUGGCCUAUUUUUGGCACACCGAGGCCGCCCGCCAAGUAUGGUGCCAUUCCGAGUCCCGCGGACGAACUUCGCCCACGCCCCCCACCAAGGCUAUAGCCCACGCGUUUUUUGACCAUUUUUCCGCUGGGGGGUCUUGGGACCCCGACGUUCGGGGGCUGAUUUUUGGGCGCGGCUGUGCCCGUGGCCUAUUUUUGGCACACGGAGGCCGCCCGCCAAGUAUGGUGCCAUUCCGAGUCCCACGGACGAACUUCGCCCACGCCCCCCACCAAGGCUAUAGCCCACGCGUUUUUUGGCCAUUUUUCCGCUGGGGGGUCUUGGGACCCCGACCUUCGGGGGCUGAUUUUUGGGCGCGGCUGUUCCCGUGGCCUAUUUUUGGCACACAGAGGCCGCCCGCCAAGUAUGGUGCCAUUCCGAGUCCCGCGGACGAACUUCGCCUACGCCCCCCACCAAGGCUAUAGCCCACCCUUUUUUUGGCCAUUUUUCCGCUGGGGGGUCUUGGGACCCCGACCUUCGGGGGCUGAUUUUUGGGCGCGGCUGUGCCCGUGGCCUAUUUUUGGCACACGGAGGCCGCCCGCCAAGUCUGGGGCCAUUCCGAGUCCCGCGGACGAACUUCGCCCACGCCCCCCACCAAGGCUAUAGCCCACCCUUUUUUUGGCCAUUUUUCCGCUGGGGGGUCUUGGGACCCCGACCUUCGGGGGCUGAUUUUUGGGCGCGGCUGUGCACGUGGCCUAUUUUUGGCACACAGAGGCCGCCCGCCAAGUAUGGUGCCAUUCCGAGUCCCGCGGACGAACUUCGCCCACGCCCCCCACCAAGGCUAUAGCCCACGCGUUUUUUGGCCAUUUUUCCGCUGGGGGGACUUGGGACCCCGACCUUCGGGGGCUGAUUUUUGGGCGCGGCUGUGCCCGUGGCCUAUUUUUGGCACACAGAGGCCGCCCGCCAAGUCUGGUGCCAUUCAGAGUCCCGCGGACGAACUUCGCCCACGCCCCCCACCAAGGCUAUAGCCCACGCGUUUUUUGGCCAUUUUUCCGCUGGGGGGUCUUGGGACCCCGACCUUCGGGGGCUGAUUUUUGGGCGCGGCUGUGCCCGUGGCCUAUUUUUGGCACACGGAGGCCGCCCGCCAAGUAUGGUGCCAUUCCGAGUCCCGCGGACGAACUUCGCCCACGCCCCCCACCAAGGCUAUAGCCCACCCGUUUUUUGGCCAUUUUUCCGCUGGGGGGUCUUGGGACCCCGACCUUCGGGGGCUGAUUUUUGGGCGCGGCUGUGCCCGUGGCCUAUUUUUGGCACACAGAGGCCGCCCGCCUAGUAUGGUGCCAUUCCGAGUCCCGCGGACGAACUUCGCCCACGCCCCCCACCAAGGCUAUAGCCCACCCGUUUUUUGGCCAUUUUUCCGCUGGGGGGUCUUGGGACCCCGACCUUCGGGGGCUGAUUUUUGGGCGCGGCUGUGCCCGUGGCCUAUUUUUGGCACACAGAGGCCGCCCGCCAAGUAUGGUGCCAUUCCGAGUCCCGCGGACGAACUUCGCCCACGCCCCCCACCAAGGCUAUAGCCCACCCGUUUCUUGGCCAUUUUUCCGCUGGGGGGUCUUGGGACCCCGACCUUCGGGGGCUGAUUUUUGGGCGCGGCUGUGCCCGUGGCCUAUUUUUGGCACACCGAGGCCGCCCGCCAAGUAUGGUGCCAUUCCGAGUCCCGCGGACGAACUUCGCCCACGCCCCCCACCAAGGCUAUAGCCCACGCGUUUUUUGGCCAUUUUUCCGCUGGGGGGUCUUGGGACCCCGACCUUCGGGGGCUGAUUUUUGGGCGCGGCUGUGCCCGUGGCCUAUUUUUGGCACACAGAGGCCGCCCGCCAAGUAUGGUGCCAUUCCGAGUCCCGCGGACGAACUUCGCCCACGCCCCCCACCAAGGCUAUAGCGCACCCGUUUUUUGGCCAUUUUUCCGCCGGGGGGUCUUGGGACCCCGACCUUCGGGGGCUGAUUUUUGGGCGCGGCUGUGCCCGUGGCCUAUUUUUAGCACACGGAGGCCGCCCGCCAAGUAUGGUGCCAUUCCGAGUCCCGCGGACGAACUUCGCCCACGCCCCCCACCAAGGCUAUAGCCCACGCGUUUUUUGACCAUUUUUCCGCUGGGGGGUCUUGGGACCCCGACCUUCGGGGGCUGAUUUUUGGGCGCGGCUGUGCCCGUGGCCUAUUUUUGGCACACCGAGGCCGCCCGCCAAGUAUGGUGCCAUUCCGAGUCCCGCGGACGAACUUCGCCCACGCCCCCCACCAAGGCUAUAGCCCACGCGUUUUUUGACCAUUUUUCCGCUGGGGGGUCUUGGGACCCCGACGUUCGGGGGCUGAUUUUUGGGCGCGGCUGUGCCCGUGGCCUAUUUUUGGCACACGGAGGCCGCCCGCCAAGUAUGGUGCCAUUCCGAGUCCCACGGACGAACUUCGCCCACGCCCCCCACCAAGGCUAUAGCCCACGCGUUUUUUGGCCAUUUUUCCGCUGGGGGGUCUUGGGACCCCGACCUUCGGGGGCUGAUUUUUGGGCGCGGCUGUGCCCGUGGCCUAUUUUUGGCACACGGAGGCCGCCCGCCAAGUAUGGUGCCAUUCUGAGUCCCGCGGACGAACUUCGCCCACGCCCCCCACCAAGGCUAUAGCCCACCCGUUUUUUGGCCAUUUUUCCGCUGGGGGGUCUUUGGACCCCGACCUUCGGGGGCUGAUUUUUGGGCGCGGCUGUGCCCGUGGCCUAUUUUUGGCACACAGAGGCCGCCCGCCUAGUAUGGUGCCAUUCCGAGUCCCGCGGACGAACUUCGCCCACGCCCCCCACCAAGGCUAUAGCCCACGCGUUUUUUGGCCUUUUUUCCGCUGGGGGGUCUUGGGACCCCGACCUUCGGGGGCUGAUUUUUGGGCGCGGCUGUGCCCGUGGCCUAUUUUUGGCACACAGAGGCCGCCCGCCAAGUAUGGUGCCAUUCCGAGUCCCGCGGACGAACUUCGCCCACGCCCCCCACCAAGGCUAUAGCCCACGCGUUUUUUGGCCAUUUUUCCGCUGGGGGGUUUUGGGACCCCGACCUUCGGGGGCUGAUUUUUGGGCGUGGCUGUGCCCGUGGCCUAUUUUUGGCACACGGAGGCCGCCCGCCAAGUAUGGUGCCAUUCCGAGUCCCGCGGACGAACUUCGCCCACGCCCCCCACCAAGGCUAUAGCCCACCCGUUUUUUGGCCAUUUUUCCGCUGGGGGGUCUUGGGACCCCGACCUUCGGGGGCUGAUUUUUGGGCGCGGCUGUGCCCGUGGCCUAUUUUUGGCACACAGAGGCCGCCCGCCAAGUAUGGUGCCAUUCCGAGUCCCGCGGACGAACUUCGCCCACGCCCCCCACCAAGGCUAUAGCCCACGCGUUUUUUGGCCUUUUUUCCGCUGGGGGGUCUUGGGACCCCGAUCUUCGGGGGCUGAUUUUUGGGCGCGGCUGUGCCCGUGGCCUAUUUUUCGCAAACAGAGGCCGCCCGCCAAGUAUGGUGCCAUUCCGAGUCCCGCGGACGAACUUCGCCCACGCCCCCCACCAAGGCUAUAGCCCACGCGUUUUUUGGCCAUUUUUCCGCUGGGGGGUCUUGGGACCCCGACCUUCGGGGGCUGAUUUUUGGGCGCGGCUGUGCCCGUGGCCUAUUUUUGGAACACCGAGGCCGCCCGCCAAGUGUGGUGCCAUUCCGAGUCCCGCGGACGAACUUCGCCCACGCCCCCCACCAAGGCUAUAGCCCAUGCGUUUUUUGGCCUUUUUUCCGCUGGGGGGUCUUGGGACCCCGACCUUCGGGGGCUGAUUUUUGGGCGCGGCUGUGCCCGUGGCCUAUUUUUGGCACACAGAGGCCGCCCGCCAAGUAUGGUGCCAUUCCGAGUCCCGCGGACGAACUUCGCCCACGCCCCCCACCAAGGCUAUAGCCCACGCGUUUUUUGGCCAUUUUUCCGCUGGGGGGUCUUGGGACCCCGACCUUCGGGGGCUGAUUUUUGGGCGCGGCUGUGUCCGUGGCCUAUUUUUGGCACACAGAGGCCGCCCGCCAAGUAUGGUGCCAUUCCGAGUCCCGCGGACGAACUUCGCCCACGCCCCCCACCAAGGCUAUAGCCCACCCGUUUUUUGGCCAUUUUUCCGCUGGGGGGUCUUGGGACCCCGACCUUCGGGGGCUGAUUUUUGGGCGCGGCUGUGCCCGUGGCCUAUUUUUGGCACACAGAGGCCGCCCGCCAAGUAUGGUGCCAUUCCGAGUCCCGCGGACGAACUUCGCCCACGCCCCCCACCAAGGCUAUAGCCCACGCGUUUUUUGGCCAUUUUUCCGCUGGGGGGUCUUGGGACCCCGACCUUCGGGGGCUGAUUUUUGGGCGCGGCUGUGCCCGUGGCCUAUUUUUGGCACACGCAGGCCGCCCGCCAAGUAUGGUGCAAUUCCGAGUCCCGCGGACGAACUUCGCCCACGCCUCCCACCAAGGCUAUAGCCCACCCCGUUUUUGGCCAUUUUUCCGCUGGGGGGUCUUUGGAACCCCGACCUUCGGGGGCUGAUUUUUGGGCCGCGGUUGUGCCCGUGGCCUAUUUUUGGAUCACCGAGGCCGCCCGCCAAGUAUGGUGCCAUUCCGAGUCCCGCGGACGAACUUCGCCCACGCCCCCCACCAAGGCUAUAGCCCACCCGUUUUUUGGCCAUUUUUCCGCUGGGGGGUCUUGGGACCCCGACCUUCGGGGGCUGAUUUUUGGGCGCGGCUGUGCCCGUGGCCUAUUUUUGGCACACAGAGGCCGCCCGCGAAGUAUGGUGCCAUUCCGAGCCCCGCGGACGAACUUCGCCCACGCCCCCCACCAAGGCUAUAGCCCACGCGUUUCUUGGCCUUUUUUCCGCUGGGGGGUCUUGUGACCCCGACCUUCGGGGGCUGAUUUUUGGGCGCGGCUGUGCCCGUGGCCUAUUUUUGGCACACCGAGGCCGCCCGCCAAGUAUGGUGCCAUUCCGAGUCCCGCGGACGAACUUCGCCCACGCCCCCCACCAAGGCUAUAGCCCACCCGUUUUUUGGCCAUUUUUCCGCUGGGGGGUCUUGGGACCCCGACCUUCGGGGGCUGAUUUUUGGGCGCGGCUGUGCCCGUGGCCUAUUUUUGGCACACGGAGGCCGCCCGCCAAGUAUGGUGCCAUUCUGAGUCCCGCGGACGAACUUCGCCCACGCCCCCCACCAAGGCUAUAGCCCACCCGUUUUUUGGCCAUUUUUCCGCUGGGGGGUCUUGGGACCCCGACCUUCGGGGGCUGAUUUUUGGGCGCGGCUGUGCCCGUGGCCUAUUUUUGGUCUCGGAGGCCGCCCGCCAAGUCUGGGGCCAUUCCGAGUCCGGCGGACGAACUUCGCCCACGCCCCCCACAUAGGCUAUAGCCCACCCGUUUUUUGGCCAUUUUUCCGCUGGGGGGUCUUGGGACCCCGACCUUCGGGGGCUGAUUUUUGGGCACGGCUGUGCCCGUCGCCUAUUUUUGGCACACGGAGGCCGCCCGCCAAGUCUGGGGCCAUUCCGAGUCCCGCGGACAAACUUCGCCCACGCCCCCCACCAAGGCUAUAGCCCACCCUUUUUUUGGCCAUUUUUCCGCUGGGUGGUCUUGGGACCCCGACCUUCGGGGGCUGAUUUUUGGGCGCGGCUGUGCCCGUGGCCUAUUUUUGGCACACGAAGGCCGCCCGCCAAGUCUGGGGCCAUUCCGAGUCCCGCGGACGAACUUCGCCCACGCCCCCCACCAAGGCUAUAGCCCACCCUUUUUUUGGCCAUUUUUCCGCUGGGGGGUCUUGGGACCCCAACCUUCGGGGGCUGAUUUUUGGGCACGGCUGUGCCCGUGGCCUAUUUUUGGCACACGGAGGCAGCCCGCCAAGUAUGGUGCCAUUCCGAGUCCCGCGGACGAACUUCGCCCACUCCCCCCACCAAGGCUAUAGCCCACCCGUCUUUUGGCCAUUUUUCCGCUGGGGGGUCUUGGGACCCCGACCUUCGGGGGCUGAUUUUUGGGCGCGGCUGUGCCCGUGGCCUAUUUUUGGCAAACGGAGGCCGCCCGCCAAGUAUGGUGCCAUUCCGAGUACCGCGGACGAACUUCGCCUAUUUUUGGCACACGGAGGCCGCCCGCCAAGUAUGGUGCCAUUCCGAGUCCCGCGGACGAACUUCGCCCACUCCCCCCACCAAGGCUAUAGCCCACCCGUCUUUUGGCCAUUUUUCCUCUGGGGGGUCUUGGGACCCCGACCUUCGGGGGCUGAUUUUUGGGCGCGGCUGUGCCCGUGGCCUAUUUUUGGCACACGGAGGCUGUCCGCCAAGUCUGGGGCCAUUCCGAGUCCCGCGGACGAACUUCGCCCACGCCCCCCACCAAGGCUAUAGCCCACCCGUUUUUUGGCCAUUUUUCCGCUGGGGGGUUCUUGGGACUCCGACCUUCGGGGGCUGAUUUUUGGGCGCGGCUGUGCCCGUGGCCUAUUUUUGGCUCACGGAGGCCGCCCGCCAAGUAUGGUGCCAUUCCGAUUCCCGCGGACGAACUUCGCCCACUCCCCCCACCAAGGCUAUAGCCCACCCGUCUUUUGGCCAUUUUUCCGCUGGGGGGUCUUGGGUCCCCGACCUUCGGGGGCUGAUUUUUGGGCGCGGCUGUGCCCGUGGCCUAUUUUUGGCAAACGGAGGCCGCCCGCCAAGUAUGGUGCAAUUCCAAGUCCCGCGGACGAACUUUGCCCACUCCCCCCACCAAGGCUAUAGCCCACCCGUCUUUUGGCCAUUUUUCCACUGGGGGGUCUUGGGUCCCCGACCUUCGGGGGCUGAUUUUUGGGCGCGGCUGUGCCCGUGGCAUAUUUUUGGCAAACGGAGGCCGCCCGCCAAGUAUGGUGCCAUUCCGAGUCCCGCGGACGAACUUCGCCCACUCCCCCCACCAAGGCUAUAGCCCACCCGUCUUUUGGCCAUUUUUCCGCUGGGGGGUCUUGGGUCCCCGACCUUCGGGGCUGAUUUUUGGGCGCGGCUGUGCCCGUGGCCUAUUUUUGGCACACGGAGCCGCCCGCCAAGUAUGGUGCCAUUCCGAGUCCCGCGACGACUUCGCCCACUCCCCCCACCAAGGCUAUAGCCCACUCGUCUUUUGGCCAUUUUUCCGCUGGGGGGUCUUGGGUCCCCGACCUUCGGGGGCUGAUUUUUGGGCGCGGCUGUGCCCGUGGCCUAUUUUUGGCAAACGGAGGCCGCCCGCCANNNNNNNNNNNNNNNNNNNNNNNNNNNNNNNNNNNNNNNNNNNNNNNNNNNNNNNNNNNNNNNNNNNNNNNNNNNNNNNNNNNNNNNNNNNNNNNNNNNNNNNNNNNNNNNNNNNNNNNNNNNNNNNNNNNNNNNNNNNNNNNNNNNNNNNNNNNNNNNGGGGGGUCUUGGGACCCCGACCUUCGGGGGCUGAUUUUUGGGGCGCGGUUGUGCCCGUGGCUUAUUUUUGGCACACGGAGGCCGCCCGCCAAGUCUGGGGCCAUUCCGAGUCCCGCGGACGAACUUCGCCCACGCCCCCCACCAAGGCUAUAGCCCACCCGUUUUUUGGCCAUUUUUCCGCUGGGGGGUUCUUGGGACUCCGACCUUCGGGGGCUGAUUUUUGGGCGCGGCUGUGCCCGUGGCCUAUUUUUGGCACACGGAGGCCGCCCGCCAAGUCUGGGGCCAUUCCGAGUCCGGCGGACGAACUUCGCCCACGCCCCCCACAUAGGCUAUAGCCCACCCAUUUUUUGGCCAUUUUUCCGCUGGGGGGUCUUGGGACCCCGACCUUCGGGGGCUGAUUUUUGGGCGCGGCCGUGCCCGUGGUCUAUUUUUGGCACACGGAGGCCGCCCGCCAAGUAUGGUGCCAUUCCGAGUCCCGCGGACGAACUUCGCCCACUCCCGCCACCAAGGCUAUAGCCCACCCGUUUUUUGGCCAUUUUUCCGCUGGGGGGUCUUGGGACCCCGACCUUCGGGGGCUGAUUUUUGGGCGCGGCUGUGCCUGUGUGUCUAUUUUUGGCACACGGAGGCCGCCCGCCAAAUCUGGGGCCAUUCCGAGUCCCGCGGACGAACUUCGCCCACGCCCCCCACCAAGGCUAUAGCCCACCCGUUUUUUGGCCAUUUUUCCGCUGGGGGGUCUUGGGACUCCGACCUUCGGGGGCUGAUUUUUGGGCGCGGCUGUGCCCGUGGCCUAUUUUUGGCACACGGAGGCCGCCCGCCAAGUCUGGGGCCAUUCCAAGUCCGGCGGACGAACUUCGCCCACGCCCCCCACAUAGGAUAUAGCCCACCCGUUUUUUGGCCAUUUUUCCGCAGGGGGGUCUUGGGACCCCGACCUUCGGGGGCUGAUUUUUGGGCGCGGCUGUGCCCGUGGCCUAUUUUUGGCACACGGAGGCCGCCCGCCAAGUCUGGGGCCAUUCCGAGUCCGGCGGACGAACUUCGCCACGCCCCCCACCAAGGCUAUAGCCCACCCGUUUUUUGGCCAUUUUUCCGCUGGGGGGUCUUGGGACCCCGACCUUCGGGGGCUGAUUUUUGGGCGCGGCUGUGCCCGUGGCCUAUUUUUGCCACACGGUGGCCGCCCGCCAUGUCUGGAGCCAUUCUGAGUCCCGCGGACGAACUUCGCCCAUGCCGCCCACCAAGGCUAUAGCCCCCCCGUUUUUUGGCCAUUUUUCCGCUGGGGGGUCUUGGGACCCCGACCUUCGGGGGCUGAUUUUUGGGCGCGGCUGUGCCCGUGGCCCAUUUUUGGCAAACGGAGGCCGCCCGACCCCGACCUUCGGGGGCUGAUUUUUGGGCGCGGCUGUGCCCGUGGCCCAUUUUUGGCACAUGGAGGCCGCCCGCCAUGUCUGGGGCCAUUCCGAGUCCGGCGGACGAACUUCGCCCACGCCCCGCGCCAAGGCUAUAGCCCACCAGUUUUUUGGCCAUUUUUCCGCUGGGGGGUCUUGGGACCCUGACCUUCGGGGGCUGAUUUUUGGGCGCGGCUGUGCCCGUGGCCUAUUUUUGGCACACGGAGGCCGCCCGCCAAGUCUGGGGCCAUUCUGAGUCCCGCGGACGAACUUCGCCCACGCCCCUCACCAAGGCUAUAGCCCACCCUUUUUUUGGCCAUUUUUUCGCUGGGGGGUCUUGGGACCCCGACCUUCGGGGGCUGAUUUUUGUACGCGGCUGUGCCCGUGGUCUAUAUUUGUUCACGAUAGCCGCCCGCCAAGUUUGGGGACAUUCCNNNNNNNNNNNNNNNNNNNNNNNNNNNNNNNNNNNNNNNNNNNNNNNNNNNNNNNNNNNNNNNNNNNNNNNNNNNNNNNNNNNNNNNNNNNNNNNNNNNNCGGCGGACGAACUUCGCCCACGCCCCCCACCAAGGCUAUAGCCCACCCGUUUUUUUACCAUUUUUCCGCUGGGGGACUUGGGACCCCGACCUUCGGGGGCUGAUUUUUGGGGGCGGCUGUGCCCGUGGCCUAUUUUUGGCACAGGGAGGCCGCCCGCCAAGUCUGGGGCCAUUCCGAGUCCUGCGGACGAACUUCGCCCACGACCCCCACCAAGGCUAUAGCCCACACAUUUUUUGGCCAUUUUUCCGCUGGGGGGUCUUGGGACCCCGACCUUCGGGGGCUGAUUUUUGGGCGCGGCUGUGCCCGUGGACUAUUUUUGGAACACGGGGGCCGCCCGCCAAGUCUGGGGCCAUUCUGAGUCCCGCGGACGAACUUCGCCCACGCCCCCCACCAAGGCUAUAGCCCACCCGUUUUUUGGCCAUUUUUCCGCUGGGGGGUCUUGGGACCCCGACCUUCGGGGGCUGAUUUUUGGGCGCGGCUGUGCCCGUGGCCUAUUUUUGGCACACGGAGGCCGCCCGCCAAGUCUGGGGCCAUUCCGAGUCCCGCGGACGAACUUCGCCCACGCCCCCCACCAAGGCUAUAGCCCACCCGUUUUUUGGCCAUUGUUCCGCUGCGGGGUCUUUGGACCCCGACCUUCGGGGGCUGAUUUUUGGGCGCGGCUAUGCCCGUGGCCUAUUUUUGGCACACGGUGGCCGCCCGCCAAGUCUGGGGCCAUUCCGAGUCCGGCGGACGAACUUCGCCCACGCCCCCAACCAAGGCUAUAGCCCACCCGUUUUUUGGCCAAUUUUCCGCUGGGGGGUCUUGGGACCCUGACCUUCGGGGGCUGAUUUUUGGGCGCGGCUUUGCCCGUGGCCUAUUUUUGGCACAGGGAGGCCGCCCGCGAAGUCUGGGGCCAUUCCGAGUCCGGCGGACAAACUUCGCCCACGCCCCCCACCAAGGCUAUAGCCCACCCAUUUUUUGGCCAUUUUUCCGCUGGGGGGUCUUGGGACCCCGACCUUCGGUGGCUGAUUUUGGGCGCGGCUGUGCCCGUGGCCUAUUUUUGGCACACGGAGGCCGCCCUCCAAGUCUGUGCCAUUCCGAGUCCCGCGGACGAACUUCGCCCACGACCCCCACCAAGGCUAUAGCCCACCCGUUUUUUGGCCAUUUUUCCGCUGGGGGGUCUUGGGACCCCGACCUUCGGGGGCUGAUUUUUGGGCGCGGCUGUGCCCGUGGCCUAUUUUUGGCACAGGGAGGCCGCCCGCCAAGUCUGGGGCCAUUCCUAGUCCGGACGACGAAUUUCGCCCGCGCCCCCCACAUAGGCUAUAGGCCAUCCGUUUUUUGGCCAUUUUUCCGCUGGGGGGUCUUGGGACCCCGACCUUCGGGGGCUGAUUUGUGGCGCGGCUGUGCCCGUGGCCUAUUUUUUGCACACGGAGGCCGCCCACCAAGUCUGGUGCCAUUCCGAGUCCGGCCGACGAACUUCGCCCACGCCCCCCACCAAGGCUAUAGCCCACCUGUUUUUUGGCCAUUUUUCCACUGGGGGGUCUUGGGGCCCCGACCUUCGGGGGCUGAUUUUUGGGCGCGGCUGUGCCCGUGGCCUAUUUUUGGCACACGGAGGCCGCCCGCCAAGUCUGGGGCCAUUCCUAGUCCGGACGACGAACUUCGCCCGCGCCCCCCACAUAGGCUAUAGCCCACCCGUUUUUUGGCCAUUUUUCCGCUGGGGGGUCUUGGGACCCCGACCUUCGGGGGCUGAUUUUUGGGCGCGGCUGUGCCCGUGGCCUAUUUUUGGCACACGGAGGCCGCCCGCCAAGUCUGGGGCCAUUCCGAGUCCCGCGGACGAACUUCGCCCACGCCCCCCACCAAGGCUAUAGCCCACCCGUUUUUUAGCCAUUUUUCCGCUGGGGGGUCUUGGGGCCCCGACCUUCGGGGGCUGAUUUUGGGCGCGGCUGUGCCCGUGGCCUAUUUUUGGCACACGGAGGCCGCCCGCCAAGUCUGGUGCCAUUCUGAGUCCCGCGGCCGAACUUCGCCCACGCCCCCCACCAAGGCUAUAGCCCACCCGUUUAUUGGCCAUUUUUCCGCCGGGGGGUCUUGGGACCCCGACCUCCGGGGGCUGAUCUUUGGGCGCGGCUGUGCCCGUGGCCUAUUUUUUGCACACGGAGGCCGCCCGCCAAGUCUGGUGCCAUUCCGAGUCCCGCGGACGAACUUCGCCCACGCCCCCCACCAAGGCUAUAGCCCACCCGUUUUUUGGCCAUUUUUCCGCUGGGGGGUCUUGGGACCCCGACCUUCGGGGGCUGAUUUUUGGGCGCGGCUGUGCCCGUGGCCUAUUUUUGGCACACGGAGGCCGCCCGCCAAGUCUGGGGCCAUUCCAAGUCCCGCGGACCAACUUCGCCCACGCCCCCCACCCAGGCUAUAGCCCACCCGUUUUUUGGCCAUUUUUCCGCUGGGGGGUCUUGGGACCCCGACCUUCGGGGGCUGAUUUUUGGGCGCGGCUGUGCCCGUGGCCUAUUUUUGGCACACGGAGGCCGCCCGCCAAGUCUGGGGCCAUUCCGAGUCCCGCGGACGAACUUCGCCCACGCCCCCCACCAAGGCUAUAGCCCACCCUUUUUUUGGCCAUUUUUCCGCUGGUGGGUCUUGGAACCCCGACCUUCGGGGGCUGAUUUUUGGGCGCGGCUGUGCCCGUGGCCUAAUUUUGGCACACGUAGGCCGCCCGCCAAGUCUGGUGCCAUUCCGAGUCCCGCGGACGAACUUCGCCCACGCCCCCCACCAAGGCUAUAGCCCACCCGUUUUUUGGCCAUUUUUCCGCUGGGGGGUCUUGGGGCCCCGACCUUCGGGGGCUGAUUUGUGGCGCGGCUGUGCCCGUGGCCUAUUUUUGGCACACGGAGGCCGCCCGCGAAGUCUGGUGCCAUUCCGAGUCCGGCCGACGAACUUCGCCCACGCCCCCCACCAAGGCUAUAGCCCACCCGUUUUUUGGCCAAUUUUCCGCUGGGGGGUCUUGGGACCCCGACCUUCGGGGGCUGAUUAUUGGGCGCGGCUGUGCCCAUGGCCUAUUUGUGGCACAGGGAGGCCGCCUGCCAAGUCUGGGGCCAUUCCGAGUCCCGCGGACGAACUUCGCCCACGACCCCCACCAAGGCUAUAGCCCACCCGUUUUUUGGCCAUUUUUCCGCUGGGGGGUCUUGGAACCCCGACCUUCGGGGGCUGAUUU
Molecule: long non-coding RNA, 14791 nt
Filed under: Citrus x clementina
Lineage: Eukaryota; Viridiplantae; Streptophyta; Magnoliopsida; Sapindales; Rutaceae
Description: Citrus clementina (C. clementina) long non-coding RNA (CCLE_LNC006049)
Source: RNAcentral